UACGAAGGGGGCUAGCGUUGCUCGGAAUCACUGGGCGUAAAGGGUGCGUAGGCGGGUCUUUAAGUCAGGGGUGAAAUCCUGGAGCUCAACUCCAGAACUGCCUUUGAUACUGAGGAUCUUGAGUUCGGGAGAGGUGAGUGGAACUGCGAGUGUAGAGGUGAAAUUCGUAGAUAUUCGCAAGAACACCAGUGGCGAAGGCGGCCAACUGGUCCGGAACUGACGCGUGAGGUGGCGAAAGCGUGGGGAGCAAACAGG
Molecule: ribosomal RNA, 255 nt
Filed under: uncultured bacterium
Lineage: Bacteria
Description: partial 16S ribosomal RNA
Rfam family: Bacterial small subunit ribosomal RNA
Source: RNAcentral